This 28-nucleotide non-coding RNA is filed under the name Cricetulus griseus (Chinese hamster). Lineage: Eukaryota; Metazoa; Chordata; Mammalia; Rodentia; Cricetidae. The record is from RNAcentral.
ACCAGGAAAGCUGCAUCGAACCCUUAGC